AUUGAACGCUGGCGGCAUGCUUUACACAUGCAAGUCGAACGGCAGCGCGGGCUUCGGCCUGGCGGCGAGUGGCGAACGGGUGAGUAAUGCAUCGGAACGUGCCCAGUAGUGGGGGAUAGCCCGGCGAAAGCCGGAUUAAUACCGCAUACGACCUGAGGGUGGAAGCGGGGGACCGAAAGGCCUCGCGCUAUUGGAGCGGCCGAUGUCGGAUUAGCUAGUUGGUGGGGUAAAGGCUUACCAAGGCGACGAUCCGUAGCUGGUCUGAGAGGACGACCAGCCACACUGGGACUGAGACACGGCCCAGACUCCUACGGGAGGCAGCAGUGGGGAAUUUUUGACAAUGGGGGCAACCCUGAUCCAGCCAUGCCGCGUGCGGGAAGAAGGCCUUCGGGUUGUAAACCGCUUUUGUUCGGGAAGAAAUCCUCUGGGCUAAUACCCCGGGGGGAUGACGGUACCGGAAGAAUAAGCACCGGCUAACUACGUG
Molecule: ribosomal RNA, 484 nt
Filed under: uncultured bacterium
Lineage: Bacteria
Description: partial 16S ribosomal RNA
Rfam family: Bacterial small subunit ribosomal RNA
Source: RNAcentral